UACGGGGGGGCAAGCGUUGUUCGGAAUUACUGGGCGUAAAGCGCGUGUCGGCGGCUUGGCAAGUCGGGUGUGAAAGCCCUCAGCUCAACUGAGGAAGUGCGCCCGAAACUGCUGAGCUCGAGUGCCGGAGAGGAUGGCGGAAUUCCCCAAGUAGAGGUGAAAUUCGUAGAUAUGGGGAGGAACACCGGUGGCGAAGGCGGCCAUCUGGACGGUGACUGACGCUGAGACGCGAAAGCGUGGGGAGCAAACAGG
This 252-nucleotide ribosomal RNA is filed under the name uncultured bacterium. RNAcentral describes it as "partial 16S ribosomal RNA". It matches the Rfam family "Bacterial small subunit ribosomal RNA", at positions 524 to 776 of the family's 1533-position model. The record is from RNAcentral.